RNAcentral lists this ribosomal RNA (592 nucleotides) under bacterium enrichment culture clone H280-1. RNAcentral's name for it is "bacterial SSU rRNA". It matches the Rfam family "Bacterial small subunit ribosomal RNA", at positions 505 to 1101 of the family's 1533-position model. The record is from RNAcentral.
GUGCCAGCAGCCGCGGUAAUACGGAGGAUCCUAGCGUUAUCCGGAUUUACUGGGUUUAAAGGGUGCGUAGGCGGGCGUUUAAGUCCGCGGUGAAAGUCUGCGGCUCAACCGUAGGAUUGCCGUGGAUACUGGACGUCUUGGAUUCGGUCGGGGCGGGCGGAAUGCGUGGUGUAGCGGUGAAAUGCAUAGAUAUCACGCAGAACGCCGAUACGAAGGCAGCUCGCCGGGCCGAAAUCGACGCUGAGGCACGAAAGCGUGGGGAUCAAACAGGAUUAGAUACCCUGGUAGUCCACGCCGUAAACGAUGAUGGCUGGGUGUUGGCGAUACAAUGUCAGCGCCUGAGGGAAACCAUUAAGCCAUCCACCUGGGGAGUACGGCCGCAAGGCUGAAACUCAAAGGAAUUGACGGGGGCCCGCACAAGCGGAGGAACAUGUGGUUUAAUUCGAUGAUACGCGAGGAACCUUACCUGGGCUAGAACGUCCCUGGAAUACCGCGGAAACGGGGUAGCCGGCAACGGCCGGGGACGAGGUGCUGCAUGGUUGUCGUCAGCUCGUGCCGUGAGGUGUCGGGUUAAGUCCCAUAACGAGCGUAA